Molecule: small RNA, 338 nt
Filed under: Histoplasma capsulatum
Lineage: Eukaryota; Fungi; Ascomycota; Eurotiomycetes; Onygenales; Ajellomycetaceae
Also listed under: 1 other name
Description: hypothetical RNA
Source: RNAcentral
UGCGAGGAAAUUUCAGCCCUAGGGCGAGGCACUGCAUGAAGUAGGCGGGAAUAAAUAAAUUACCGGGUCAAAAUUGGAGUAUCGGGUUCCAAGGGGGAUUCAUAGGAUGAUUGGGGAUAUGACUCAAAAUCGAUCACUCGGCUAGCUGCGCGCGUCCACCUACCUUCCCCCUGCCUCUCAAGGCUUCUGGGAGUUCCGCUUUUUGGGUUGAAUGGUUCGCAAAGCUCGAGGCUAAUAUUGUCAAGAACUCCAGCCAAUAGCGGGCUAGAUCUUGCUGGGUUCGUUACUGCUGAGGGGAAGUGCCCACAUGAUUCGCUAGAUAACAAAUAAGGCAUAAG